UUCGCAAUGCCCGAAAGGGUGACGAAGCGACGCCGCGUGUGGGAAGAAGGCCUUCGGGUUGUAAACCACUGUCGGGAGUUAAGAAAUGCAAGGAUAUGAAUAGUGUCUUUGUUUGACUAAGGCUCCGGAGGAAGCCACGGCUAACUCUGUGCCAGCAGCCGCGGUAAUACAGAGGCGGCAAGCGUUGUUCGGAAUUAUUGGGCGUAAAGAGCACGUAGGCGGCUAUGUAAGUCGGUUGUGAAAGCCUUCCGCUCAACGGAAGAACAGCAUCCGAUACUACAUGGCUUGAGUGCGGGAGGGGAGAGUGGAACUUCUGGUGGAGCGGUGAAAUGCGUAGAUAUCAGAAGGAACGCCGGCGGCGAAAGCGGCUCUCUGGCCCAUAACUGACGCUGAGUGUGCGAAAGCUAGGGGAGCAAACGGGAUUAGAUACCCCGGUAGUCCUAGCCGUAAACGAUGGGCACUAAGUAGAGGGGUUUU
This 477-nucleotide ribosomal RNA is filed under the name uncultured bacterium. RNAcentral's name for it is "bacterial SSU rRNA". It matches the Rfam family "Bacterial small subunit ribosomal RNA", at positions 365 to 832 of the family's 1533-position model. The record is from RNAcentral.